Molecule: transfer RNA, 73 nt
Filed under: Mortierella alpina
Lineage: Eukaryota; Fungi; Mortierellomycota; Mortierellomycetes; Mortierellales; Mortierellaceae
Rfam family: tRNA
About the family: Transfer RNA (tRNA) molecules are approximately 80 nucleotides in length. Their secondary structure includes four short double-helical elements and three loops (D, anti-codon, and T loops).
Source: Rfam by way of RNAcentral
GUCAGAUUAAUUUAAUUAGGUAAAAUUCAUGAUUUGUAAUCAUAUCUUGUUAGUUCGAUUCUAACAUCUGGCA